GGUUGUAUCACGUAUAGAGGUAACAUCAUAUGCUCAUGGAUCAUCCGACUUGCUUGGAAUUCAGAUUGACGCUGCAAUAAAUCCAGGGAAUAGUGGUGGCCCUGCAUUCAAUGACCAGGGGGAAUGUAUUGGAGUAGCAUUUCAGGUUUACAGAUCUGAAGAAACU
Non-coding RNA from Camelina sativa (false flax), 166 nucleotides. The record is from RefSeq and is a predicted model, not a curated record. Lineage: Eukaryota; Viridiplantae; Streptophyta; Magnoliopsida; Brassicales; Brassicaceae.